GGGAAUGGAUAAACAAGAUUGGGAAUGGUUGGUUAAAGAAUAUUUUUUAAGUGAAAGUUUUCAGAAAAUGAGUAAAACAAAUACACAGAAUAGAUCCUUGAAAUCUAUGCCACAUCGAACAGGAAGCAAGCCUUUUAGGCAAUUGGCAUAUGAAAUGGGAGGAAAAGAUGGACAACCUCCAGAUUUUGCAUCAAUGUUUUUUGAGACACGAAAAAAGGGAGACCAUAUUGUUGAUCUUGAUGCAAUUGAAAAAUAUGUGAGU
Molecule: long non-coding RNA, 262 nt
Organism: Zingiber officinale
Lineage: Eukaryota; Viridiplantae; Streptophyta; Magnoliopsida; Zingiberales; Zingiberaceae
Exons: 3
Source: RefSeq, a predicted model, not a curated record